CCUACGGGUGGCAGCAGUGAGGAAUAUUGGUCAAUGGACGAGAGUCUGAACCAGCCAAGUAGCGUGAAGGAUGACUGCCCUAUGGGUUGUAAACUUCUUUUAUAUGGGAAUAAAAUGUUCCACGUGUGGGAUUUUGUAUGUACCAUAUGAAUAAGGAUCGGCUAACUCCGUGCCAGCAGCCGCGGUAAUACGGAGGAUCCGAGAGUUAUCCGGAUUUAUUGGGUUUAAAGGGAGCGUAGGUGGAUUGUUAAGUCAGUUGUGAAAGUUUGCGGCUAAACCGUAAAAUUGCAGUUGAAACUGGCAGUCUUGAGUACAGUAGAGGUGGGCGGAAUUCGUGGUGUAGCGGUGAAAUGCUUAGAUAUCACGAAGAACUCCGAUUGCGAAGGCAGUUCACUGGACUGCAACUGACACUGAGGCUCGAAAGUGUGGGUAUCAAACAGGAUUAGAUACCCUAGUAGUC
Molecule: ribosomal RNA, 460 nt
Filed under: uncultured bacterium
Lineage: Bacteria
Description: partial 16S ribosomal RNA
Rfam family: Bacterial small subunit ribosomal RNA
Source: RNAcentral